AUUGAACGCUGGCGGCAGGCCUAACACAUGCAAGUCGAGCGGAUGAAGGGAGCUUGCUCCUGGAUUCAGCGGCGGACGGGUGAGUAAUGCCUAGGAAUCUGCCUGGUAGUGGGGGAUAACGUCCGGAAACGGGCGCUAAUACCCCAUACGUCCUGAGGGAGAAAGUGGGGGAUCUUCGGACCUCACGCUAUCAGAUGAGCCUAGGUCGGAUUAGCUAGUUGGUGGGGUAAGGGCCUACCAAGGCGACGAUCCGUAACUGGUCUGAGAGGAUGAUCAGUCACACUGGAACGGAGACACGGUCCAGACUACUACGGGAGGCAGCAGUGGGGAAUAUUGGACAAUGGGCGAAAGCCUGAUCCAGCCAUGCCGCGUGUGUGAAGAAGGUCUUCGGAUUGUAAAGCACUUUAAGUUGGGAGGAAGGGCAGUAAGUUAAUACCUUGCUGUUUUGACGGUACCAACAGAAUAAGCACCGGCUAACUUCGUG
Molecule: ribosomal RNA, 484 nt
Filed under: uncultured bacterium
Lineage: Bacteria
Description: partial 16S ribosomal RNA
Rfam family: Bacterial small subunit ribosomal RNA
Source: RNAcentral